AAGAACCUUACCAGGUCUUGACGAUUCCCGAUGCUAUUUCUAGAGAUAGAAAGUUACUUCGGUACAUCGGUGGACAGGUGGUGCAUGGUUGUCGUCAGCUCGUGUCGUGAGAUGUUGGGUUAAGUCCCGCAACGAGCGCAACCCCUAUUGUUAGUUGCCAUCAUUCAGUUGGGCACUCUAGCGAGACUGCCGGUAAUAAACCGGAGGAAGGUGGGGAUGACGUCAAAUCAUCAUGCCCUUAUGACCUGGGCUACACACGUGCUACAAUGGUUGGUACAACGAGUUGCGAGUCGGUGACGGCGAGCUAAUCUCUUAAAGCCAAUCUCAGUUCGGAUUGUAGGCUGCAACUCGCCUACAUGAAGUCGGAAUCGCUAGUAAUCGCGGAUCAGCACGCCGCGGUCGAAUACGUUCCCGGGCCUU
RNAcentral lists this ribosomal RNA (420 nucleotides) under uncultured Streptococcus sp. Its description in RNAcentral is "bacterial SSU rRNA". It matches the Rfam family "Bacterial small subunit ribosomal RNA", at positions 964 to 1382 of the family's 1533-position model. The record is from RNAcentral. Lineage: Bacteria; Bacillati; Bacillota; Bacilli; Lactobacillales; Streptococcaceae.